GCGGGUAUAAGUCAAUGGCAGACCGUCAGAUUCCCAAUCUGGGCAUAGGUUCGAGUCCCGUUAUCCGCU
Molecule: transfer RNA, 69 nt
Filed under: Ligilactobacillus salivarius
Lineage: Bacteria; Bacillati; Bacillota; Bacilli; Lactobacillales; Lactobacillaceae
Description: Lactobacillus salivarius tRNA-Gly
Rfam family: tRNA
About the family: Transfer RNA (tRNA) molecules are approximately 80 nucleotides in length. Their secondary structure includes four short double-helical elements and three loops (D, anti-codon, and T loops).
Source: RNAcentral